GAGGGUAUAGUUCAAGUGGUAGAGCACAUGUCUAGCAUGUAUGAGGUUAUGGGUUCAAUCCCCAGUACCUUCA
Molecule: transfer RNA, 73 nt
Filed under: Camelus bactrianus (Bactrian camel)
Lineage: Eukaryota; Metazoa; Chordata; Mammalia; Artiodactyla; Camelidae
Also listed under: 1 other name
Rfam family: tRNA
About the family: Transfer RNA (tRNA) molecules are approximately 80 nucleotides in length. Their secondary structure includes four short double-helical elements and three loops (D, anti-codon, and T loops).
Source: Rfam by way of RNAcentral